This 1645-nucleotide long non-coding RNA is filed under the name Heterocephalus glaber (naked mole-rat). Its description in RNAcentral is "lncRNA (ENSHGLG00100051451.1)". Lineage: Eukaryota; Metazoa; Chordata; Mammalia; Rodentia; Bathyergidae. The record is from RNAcentral.
UGCCAAGAGAAAUUAGAAGAGAGUGCAGAUUCAGCCGCAGGGGAAAAAAGCUCUGAAUCUACAACACACCCUUUCCCUAGCUGCUCCUGUCAGCACCCUCUCAAAGUGAGGAAAAGAAACCUGUUUUCCUUAUGACAAAGACUGAUUUGAUGAUAAACCUUCUCGGCUUCCCAGGAGGUGGCAGUGACUCUGAUCGGUGAGGAGGAGGCCGAAGGAGUAGGGGAAUCUAAUCCACUCAGGCCAAGGGAGGAAAGAGGAGGCGGCCCGAGGCCACACUGGUUAGUGUCCUGCACUCAUCUCCUUGGGGUGGGCACGGCAGGGGCCUCCACUUCUGCUGUGGCAAAGCAGUAGAUGUCAUCGAAGCCCAUUCUGUCCAGUCCAAGGGGGUCGCCAUCCGACUCUGAAGCCUGGAGACCCUGGAGCCCCAGAGUGAGUCUUCCCGAGGCCGUGACCAGAGCUUUCUGCAGCCUGGACCUCGGGCCCUGCUUAAACCGGAGGGGAGAUCCCCUCUGCACCAGACAAAGGCCUGUCUGGAAACAGGAGCAGAGACCAAGGGACACAAGGACCACAUUUCUGCCAGCUUCCUGCCUCUCUGCCUGCUGUCACGUCUGCAGGGCUGACGUCUGCAUCUGCUGACUUCCACGGACCUUAUCUUCAGACCGGCCUCUUCGGAGGGGCAGCAUCUACACCGGUGAAGGUGAUUUCAUCCCAGGAAUACAGCUGAUCCAAAGACUUGAGCCACAAAGGCUAUGUUUUCUCCUCUGCAGGGGCGUCCAACAUCUGGAUAACUGCUUACCACCUUCUUAUUUUGCAGAACAUUCCCAGCAUAGCAGCCCUUUGUGUCCCUCUGAGCUGCUCUUUUUGGGGUUAUCCAGGCCCCUCUUGUACCCCGACAGUCCACCUCUUCGCUGCCUAUCUGUUCCCUGCCUCUAGCACUGCCCCACUGCCUGUCCCUAGAACACCUACCCUCCAGGGGUUUAUUUCUUAGAUUCCCCAAGAGAGACUCCACUGGUUUUGCAGGUGCGGACUCAGAACCUGCUGACAGAGAGGGGUACUCUGGAAGGAAGAGUCCCUCUUUUGAGACUGCAGGUUAUAAUCCCUGAGGGUUUUGGGUUAGGGGGAAUUUGCCAUUCAAUCUCUGCUGCCCCUGGUGUCAGGAUGUCAGCAUGUGCGUGGAGGCUGGAACUGCUGCUUCUUCAGCAUGGAUCAGAGACCGGCCAAGAGCUCUGGCAGCAGAGUCAGCUAGAGGCCAGCUGUGCUCCGGACAGGAUCAGAAGCUGGCUGUCCUGUGCUUCCUUCCUUUGCUCCUCCUCUUCAUCAGAUCCUUCUUUGUCCCUGAAAGCCAGGCCGAUGCCGCCAGCAGCACAUUCCUCUUGCCCCUCCGUUCCUCUGAGGUGGCCGCAGUCUGAAGCCCCUCUGGGCCCCCUUGUGCCUGAACUGGAGACACACGAAGUAGAAAAGGACUCCGCAGACAGCUGCACCCGUGGUGCAAGAGAGCCCACGAGGCCUGUUUGCUCCAGCACCUGAGCCUGGAAGGGAACACAGAAGGUGGCAGGGACAGCAGAGGGGAGAUACCUGUGUGCAGGUCCACUAGGCGUCGGGAAGGGCAGCGCCACGGGCUGGACUGGGCUGAGGGCUGGGGGGG